UUUCAAACAGACCACAGAACAUAGCCACACUAGGAAAUCUCCCCUGGAUGCCAAGGGAAAUGGACCAGAAAGCCUGACGCCUUGAGACCCUGGGAGGUCCAGAGUGUGUGUGAGAAUUUGGAGCAGAGGACAGAUGAGGUGGUGGAUAGAAAGUUGGAAUCAGGUUCAUAUCCUGCUGGUGACUAACUCUGUGAGGAAGAGACAAAACCAAUGGAUCCUCAGGUGGCAUAUAUGAUACGGAAUAUCACUGGCUUUUGGAUACUAUUACAUAUGUAUUGUUCAUUCACGUUUUUCAAAAUUAGAAAAAGACUAAAGAAAAACGCUUUUAUGUGGCACAUGCAUGGGAUCCUGUCAGUGACUUAUUCAAUGGAAGUGGGUGCUUGUAUUUGUUAUUUGUGGACAAAGCACAGUUGUCCAGGAUUUAUUCUAAAGGAGGAUUGGGUGAACUGGUGUUCUUGGAGUCUCAUUUUGACCAUAUACAUGCUCAUAAUAAUAAUUAUUUUGAAAUUUUUCGCUAAGUUUUUUUUCUUUUUUAUGAUAAUGCUCUUUUCAAUGAAUUUUGCCAAUAUUGAGGGCAUUAUCUUUUCAAUGCCUAUAUUAAGGUUACUUUUUGUAAGGUUUCUUCCCCUUAUUCUUUCAAAAAUGCACUCUGCUACUGGGAGAUAGGAGGCCCUGUCCCAGGCUUUCUGUGCAGCUCUGAGCCUUGGCUUUGAGCACAAAGGCCCCUCGUGUUUGCAGGGGGAAGCUUUGACUGCUCUGUUUAGGAAAUAGCCUGUUUCCCAGAGUUUGCUAUCUGAACUGGGACUGGAAGCUGACCUACUGAUUUGUUCUUAGACUGAGCCAGGGCUGAGCAUUUUCAGUGUGAUUUGCUUUCAUUAAGACCCUCUCACCAAAUUUUCCCACAGUCUAUCUGAGCUGGCCUGAACACACUUUUCAUCCCAAUCAGACUGACUUUUCUUGAACUUUUUUCCAGUCUAUGUUGAGCUGGAAAUUAGAUUCAUUCCAUUAGAUUCUAUUCAGAGGCUUGGUUUCAUGUGAUUUUCCAGGGAAACUGGGAGAACUGGAGCAGCUCCCUGAUUUUAUUC
Molecule: long non-coding RNA, 1085 nt
Organism: Sarcophilus harrisii (Tasmanian devil)
Lineage: Eukaryota; Metazoa; Chordata; Mammalia; Dasyuromorphia; Dasyuridae
Exons: 5
Source: RefSeq, a predicted model, not a curated record